This 406-nucleotide ribosomal RNA is filed under the name uncultured bacterium. Its description in RNAcentral is "partial 16S ribosomal RNA". It matches the Rfam family "Bacterial small subunit ribosomal RNA", at positions 29 to 526 of the family's 1533-position model. The record is from RNAcentral.
AUUGAACGCUGGCGGCAGGCCUAACACAUGCAAGUCGAGCGAGCGGCGGAGGGGGGAGUAAUGUCUGGGAAACAGCCUGAUGGAGGGGGGUAACUACUGGAAACGGUAGCUAAUAUCGCAUAUCAUCUGAUGUGCCCAGAUGGGAUUAGCGAGUGGGUGGGGUAACGGCUCACCCAGGCGACGAUCCCUAGCUGGUCUGAGAGGAUGACCAGCCACACUGGAACUGAGACACGGUCCAGACUCCUACGGGAGGCAGCAGUGGGGAAUAUUGCACAAUGGGCGCAAGCCUGAUGCAGCCAUGCCGCGUGUGUGAAGAAGGCCUUCGGGUUGUAAAGCACUUUCAGCGGGGAGGCGUUACCCGCAGAAGAAGCACCGGCUAACUCCGUGCCAGCAGCCGCGGUAAUAC